Molecule: long non-coding RNA, 309 nt
Organism: Chelonia mydas (Green sea turtle)
Lineage: Eukaryota; Metazoa; Chordata; Testudines; Cheloniidae
Exons: 2
Source: RefSeq, a predicted model, not a curated record
AGGAUGUGCGGGCAGGACCUGGCCUUCUGGAUCAGCAAGGUUUGCAGAGCACAAGAUCAGUGGAAGUGGGAGCUCGGCAACCUGAAUGGGGCCGGACCUGUGUCGGUGUGCACUGGGGGAGUGUUCCCAUGCAGUGUAAUGCGAGCCCAGAUCACUGGUGAAAGGAUGCACGUAGAUCUCCCAGGAAAUUAGAAGUGACAUGGCUCACUUAGACACAUGGUAAGAUUUAUGCAAGCAAGAUCGGCUCUCUGACAACUCGGAAGGACUCCUGCCACUACCCAGAGCUAAAUAUAACUCGUAUAAAUUCCC